UACGUAGGGGGCAACCGUUAUCCGGAUUCACUGGGUGUAAAGGGAGCGUAGACGGCCAUGCAAGCCUGGAGUGAAAGCCCGGGGCCCAACCCCGGGACUGCUCUGGGAACUGUGCGGCUGGAGUGCGGGAGGGGCAGGCGGAAUUCCUGGUGUAGCGGUGAAAUGCGUAGAUAUCAGGAGGAACACCGGCGGCGAAGGCGGCCUGCUGGACCGCGACUGACGUUGAGGCUCGAAAGCGUGGGGAGCAAACAGG
This 253-nucleotide ribosomal RNA is filed under the name uncultured bacterium. RNAcentral's name for it is "partial 16S ribosomal RNA". It matches the Rfam family "Bacterial small subunit ribosomal RNA", at positions 524 to 776 of the family's 1533-position model. The record is from RNAcentral.